This 284-nucleotide unclassified non-coding RNA is filed under the name Acartia negligens. RNAcentral's name for it is "partial ITS2". The record is from RNAcentral. Lineage: Eukaryota; Metazoa; Arthropoda; Copepoda; Calanoida; Acartiidae.
UAAGAAACUGGAAGCUGGGUUCUUCGCUAAGGACAGAAAGGUAUGCUUGAAUACGUCGGAGUUUAGCAGUGUGGCUGAAUUCUAGGGUCGAGCUAACCUCGUUCCUAGCGAUGGUUACCCUUAGUAAAGCUGUCUGACAGUGCUGUCGAUAGWAGCCAUUCAGUCGAAGUAAAACACGGCAGGUAUGAAUGGYUUGACGGACUGGUGUAGGCCAUCAGACUAGCRGGGAUGGAUAGGCGAAGCUUGUGAAUCGUCUAUAUUUUAUCCAUUAAACCGCGGCUUGA